This 251-nucleotide long non-coding RNA is filed under the name Apteryx rowi (Okarito brown kiwi). RNAcentral's name for it is "lncRNA (ENSARWG00000018915.1)". The record is from RNAcentral. Lineage: Eukaryota; Metazoa; Chordata; Aves; Apterygiformes; Apterygidae.
CCCACCAGCAUGUGCUUCAGUGUGAAUAUGCUAAUUAGCUCAUCCCACAAAAUGAACUCACACCUGACCCUAGGUAGAGUUCAAGUGUGUUUGAACCACACUUGGAAGAAGGAAGAGCAGCUUAAGGCAGAGCUAACUACAGACUUAAAAAUGAAGAAAGUGUUUUAGAAGAAAUGUUAUCUCUCUCUGUUGGAAAUAUAUUGUGUUGCCUAGUGGACAUCUCAGGAAGCAAACUGAAGGAUCAGUAUGAG